RNAcentral lists this long non-coding RNA (308 nucleotides) under Lactuca sativa (garden lettuce). RNAcentral describes it as "long non-coding RNA (LSAT_LNC007269)". The record is from RNAcentral. Lineage: Eukaryota; Viridiplantae; Streptophyta; Magnoliopsida; Asterales; Asteraceae.
UAGAUUAGGAUAUGGGUUUGAUUAAUAGUACGGAAUUACCGGUGGUGGUGGGGAGGCGUAGGAUACCCCGAUCACUGGCGGAAGAGGGGUGUUGUCCGGUGGGGGUUGUGGGUGUGUGGGUUUAUGGGGUGGUGAGGGUGGUUGGGUUUGAUGUGGAGGUGGUGGUGGGGAAUGAUGGUGGGUGGUGGGUGGCGGUGGAGAUUGAGGUUGUUGUGUUGGUGAUGGUGGUGGGUGGUGCCAUUGUUGUGGUGGCGGUGGAGGUGGUGGUGUUGGUAGAAUGCAUCCAGAUGAUGGUGGUGGUGGCGGAG